This is a transfer RNA of Felis catus (domestic cat), 75 nucleotides long. It matches the Rfam family "tRNA". From Rfam's summary of the family: Transfer RNA (tRNA) molecules are approximately 80 nucleotides in length. Their secondary structure includes four short double-helical elements and three loops (D, anti-codon, and T loops). The record is from Rfam. NCBI's taxonomy places the organism in Eukaryota, Metazoa, Chordata, Mammalia, Carnivora, Felidae.
GCCUGGGUGGCUCAGUUGGUUGAGCAUCGGACUCUUGAUAUCCUAGGGUCGUGGGAUCGAGCCCCACAUCAGACU